AGCCUAAGCAAUGCUGCCAGACAAGAAGAAGCUGAGCGGGGACUCUUCUCCUCAGCCCUGUGAAGCUCAUGGCCCGAGCCCUCCAUGUCCGCACCCGCCUCUCCCUGAGGACGCAUGCCCGGCUGUCUUUAGUUCACGGCUCCUGUUGCCCUUAGGGGAGAAGGCCGAAGACCUGCUCUUUCUACAAAACAUGGUUCAGAGCAGGCCUGUUGCAGACCCCUGGGGACUCCCAUCUGGGCACCAAAAUACAAGGUCCGGGCUGGCUGCAGGCCAGCACUAGAGCCAACCAGUCUGCAGACCCGACCUCACUCAGCCCUCCAGGUUUCCAAGCCCAUACUGGUGCUAUGACCUGCAGACAGCAGCCCGCGGGAGCUUCUCCAUCCUUCCCAGCACGCUCGCAACCCAGGGGAACGGUCGCCGUUUUCAGCUGCCUCGUAGGCUUUAGGGUUGGCUGGAGCCUCAAAAUGUGGAACAGGAGCCCAAGGCUCCCACGCCAAGGCCUCAGGACGCGGGGAUUUAAAGCUGCCUGGGCCCUGGGCUUCCUGCGCUCUCCUGCGGUUCAGGUGGCCGUUCGGGCCACUCCCUGUCUACUAUGCUUGCGGAUCCUGAGAGGUUACAAAGGAAAGCCAAAUGGGCGGACGUCCAGGGCCAAGGUAGCCAGCCAUUCCUUCUUGCUGUAAUCACCUGCGCUGCCUGUUACCCUUGACCAAAGACCGCUAGUGGUGCCCUCCUUGGGAGGCUGCCACCAACAGUGGGACAGGGAACGUGAUAGACCCGAUUUUCAGUGUUGCCCGCACCCUGGACCUACAAGGAUGGGCUGACCCUGAUACCCCGCCAUGCCCUGCCUUCGGAUGCAACGCACUGCCUGUUGGCAUGGAGCGCCAUCGCUGGUGGAAGGGAGUGGAGCUCAGAUAGCCCAGGUCAGUGAGGAUGAGCGGACAGGACCCUCUCAGUCUCUUGGAUCUUGCAGUACAAAGCCUGCUGAACGAUGAGGACUCAGCUGUCCAUGCUCUGGAGGAGCUCCCUGUGGGCCUUUUCCCAACCCUGUCCACGGCAGCCUUUGAUGGGGGACACACAAAGACUGUGACAGCAAUGAUGCAGGCCUGGCCCUUCCCCUGCCUCCAUCUGGGAUCGUUAAGAGAUCAGUCAAUAACUCAAGAUCUCUUAGAAGCCGUCCUAGAUGGGCUGGAAUUAGUUCCUACCAAUGCUGCUUGUCCGAGGAGAUCGAAGCCGAAGGUGCUGGAUUUUACCCAUGACUUUGAGCACUCCAACUGGGAGGAGUGCUCUGAGACUACUCCUGCCCCCUUCGUCGUCACGCACAUGCUGGAAGAGCCGGAGGCAGACCCACGAGUGCCCAGUUCCAGAGAACAGCCUCCGCAUCAUCGAGAACCCAUGGAAAUCCACACAGACCUUUUCCUCGGUGGUUUGUUCGGCUUGUUCCACCUGUCGGGGCUCCCCCUCGUACAUCCUGCAGAGAGUCGAGAAGAGCCACGGCUGUCUGCGUCUCUGCUGUCGGACCCUGGUCGUCAACCGGGUGCCGUUCCGCAGCCUUGUAGAGACCCUGGGAGUGCUGGAGCUGGAGACCAUCCGAGAGGUGCGGCUUCAUCACAGGGGUAAG
Ailuropoda melanoleuca (giant panda) is the source of this 1618-nucleotide RNA transcript. It is a transcript of the gene named PRAME nuclear receptor transcriptional regulator, with no coding region annotated. The record is from RefSeq and is a predicted model, not a curated record. The transcript is spliced from 7 exons. NCBI's taxonomy places the organism in Eukaryota, Metazoa, Chordata, Mammalia, Carnivora, Ursidae.